AUACUUACCUGGACGGGGUCAAUGGGCGAUCAAUAAGGCCCAUGGCCUAGGUUGAUGACUUCCAUUGCACUUUGGAAGGGUGUUAACUUAAGGUCUACCUUAUAGGUGGAGCCUACGUCAUAAUUUGUGAUAGAGGGGGCCUGCGUUCGCGCGGCCCCUGC
Molecule: small nuclear RNA, 161 nt
Filed under: Ipomoea nil (Japanese morning glory)
Lineage: Eukaryota; Viridiplantae; Streptophyta; Magnoliopsida; Solanales; Convolvulaceae
Description: U1 spliceosomal RNA
Rfam family: U1 spliceosomal RNA
About the family: U1 is a small nuclear RNA (snRNA) component of the spliceosome (involved in pre-mRNA splicing).
Source: Rfam by way of RNAcentral